UCCCAGUGCCCAGCGACCCUCUGGGUGAAGAAACUUUUCCUAAUAUCUACCCUAAACCUUCCCUGACACAGUUUCAUACCAUACUUAAUGUGAGGAUAAGUAUUAUCCUUAACAAAACUACUAGCUAGAUGAUUCUUUCUUCAUUUUUGUGAUAUUUAAAGCAUAUUUUGCUUAACCCUUAAAGCGCUGAAAUAGCUUUUGCUUGUACUCUUUUGUUUGCCAGUCACGGGAAGACAAAUAAAAUUGUAUCUACUCCUUUCUGUCUUCUGUCUCCCUAGUCUUCUAGAAAUCUCAAGCAACUCUCAAGUUUCACUGGGUUCUCAAUUCAAAUUUUUUUGUAACUUUACAUCUUCAUGGGGUUCAGCCUUUGUACAAUAGCCCACUUUUGGUACAAUAUUGACUUGGCUUUGAUUUUCAUCUUACAGUCCCAUAUAUCCUUACUUCUUUUGGUUGUUUUCAAAUCAGAGAAAGAGCAGUUGCCCUCAGUAGAAGUAAACAUAGUCAAUAAGAUAGGAUGGAAGAGGUAGAAUAUCCUUGCAGAAGUAGAAGCUUAUCUAAAAGACCUAAUUUACUUUUUUAAUUAUUCAAAGCACUUUUAGGUAAUUUAAUUAAAAACAGAGCUGGGCAAAGAGGAUGCAUAUUGCUAUCUUUGUCUUAUUAAUUUCUGAAGAAUUUAGCCAAGUUAAACAAACUGUAGUAGAACUCAAUACUCUAAUUUAGGUUACUGACUCGGUGUCUGCUUCAUUGAAAUUGAAAGUGCCUGGCUCAGGAAAGUGAGCUAAUCUACUUACAGUACAGUAUACGAUUACUGAAGAGACAGAUUUGCCAGUAAAGAUCUGCAGAGAAAGUCAAUGGCAUGGUCUGGCUUUGGCAUCUUCCUCUGUGGUGAGGAGGAUACCUUUGGGAGUUUUGAAUGCUUUCUUAAAUAGCAUAAAGCUGCUGGAAAUGUUAGGUUAGGACUCUCUGUUCAUGCAUGGCCUCUUCUAAGGACAGACACGUAAUGAGCUAAAGGCAGUCAUAGAGGUACAUGAUGCCUGUGUUAAAGGCACACGUGUAAUGUUUAGGAAAACAGAAAGAGGAAGCUUCUUGUUUAGGCAUACAGUUGCAUGGAAGAAACUCAUUUUGGUCGAAGCCCUCCUCUGUGUGCAUAUUUUAGUAGAGCACCAGUGGAUAAGAACAAAACUAAUCUGGCUACAGGAUGUGGAAGCAUUCUGUGUCCUCAGUAGUACGCCCAAAAAUAGGCAGCCCUCUGUCUUUCCCCUCACUUAACUCGUGAUUCAUCUGGGUGCCUCCAGAAGAAGGUAGAUAAUCCGUGCAGAACAACUCUCUAACAGUUCCUUCAGUAAGGACAGAGCACAGGGCCCAGCUCUCUGUGUUUCAGUUCAGGCAGAGGGCAUCUGGUGCCAGGGUGCCUGAACUGCAGCAGAACUGUAGCUGUUACAUAUGUGCCUACCCUGGCAAUAGAUCUCUCUCCAAUGGAGAUAGCAUGGGCCAGGGACAGUUGCUUUUUCGCAGCUAGAAUGUGACCACCUUAUUUUGUGGAGUAGGAAAGCUUAGUAUUGCAAAUAUGGGACAUUGUACCUUGAGCCUCAGGGGAAGAGUGUGACUUGGAGCACACUGGGUAUACCAGGAGAGAGGUAAUCUUCCAGAGGAGCUAUCUACAGGAUUAGGCAGUCCUGAAAACUAGGUGUACAUAACCAUGGCCUGGGAAUAAGCUUUGGUCUUUGACACCAAAAUUUGGGGUUAGGCACAUCGAAUCUCACAAUAGAUCUCUAAUACUUGUGAACAUACUGGGGUUUUUUUGUUUCAUUAUCCUUCUGCGCUUUCAGGUGCACUGUUCUAGCAUCCAGGUUUCUUGCUGGUCUGUUUAAGGUUUGAAUGCUGUACUUAUGGGCUGUUUGAGGGAUGAUUUGAUUUUGAGGGAUUCCCUAGGUUGUCAUCAGUCAAGACUUUUAGAGAGGAAAAGGCUACAGACCAAGAUGAGAGUAAACUAAACCAGUUGUUAUAAUGCCCAGCAAUGCUAACUUCUGAAAAACUGUGAGGACAAAAUAUGAGUAAAUUCAUUAAAUCAAUUGAAAAGAUACAAAACCAAAGUCAGUUAAAUAAUGCAGAAAUUUGCAUAUAUCGUUAUCUCAUUUCUUUCUUUCUGCCAACAUUUUUUUUCCCAAAGUGGCAAAUCCUCUCCUCCUUAAUCAUCUUCAAGGCUCCCUUUAACACUUCAAGAAGACAGUUGUUUACAGUCACACAGUGAGUCCAUAGUAGAGCUUGGAAUGGUAAUUUGGUAUCCAUCACCUAUGCUACAGUCAGAGACUACUAGGUCAUGCUAUUUCUUGAUAUUACUAGUACUGUUUUAUUAUACGUCUUCUCAGUCACAAAGCUGUAUCAAAUGUUGAACACUGAUUCUUUUGCUGAGAAAGUAAAUUUUUUGAUACAUUUUUCUGGGAAAAACCCUUUUUUGUAUGGUUGUGCUUGAUAACAGUAGCCCAGGCUUUUCAGAGAAACAUUUACAAUAAUCAAAAACUAUACUUAAAUUAGAAAAUUUUAUUUAGUAGACAGUUGUAUCUUUACUUAAAUAAAUGCUUUUAAUCAAAGAUACAACAUUCUUCAGAAACUUUUUCCACAUUAGAGAGCAAUUAUUUGAGUUUUAGCUUGAAUCUGAUUUACACAAUUAAAAAUUGUACAGAAAAGGUUUUCCAUUGGAUCUGAAGAGAAAAUGUAAAUGUGCAAUGUGUAUGUGAUGUUACUUAAUUUCCAUGGCUAUGAACCCUCAAAUGUUGAGACAACAGGGAAUUGUUUAGCAAAGUUUCGAAUUCCCUUCACUGCUAAAGCUUCAUCAAAAUAAGACUAUGGUUUCCAAUUGUUAAAUUAGAUUGAAUAUGUAUUUUCUUUUACCUGUGAUAGUGUAACUGUAUUAAAGAUGUGAUUUUGAAAAAAGGGGGUAGUUUGCUGUAUACCAUUAUUUGUGAAAUAGUGAACACUGUCUGAUCAUUAUUUUUAUUUUCACAAUAAAACCUACUAAAACUGCAUUUACCUUGAAACUGUUUUGUACAAUGUAAUUAAAAAGCUUAAUAUUUUGGCAACAUGAGAGAGAAAAGAUAACUUGAGAGUACAUUCAUAAAUGUAACAGAUACACAUUAUAAGACAUAUACAUCCCCCAUCGAGACAAGGUCAUUUUUAUGGGAAUGACUUUCCUUGGGCUCCAGGAAAGCCAACAUAUAGUUACUGUCAUUUUAAGAAACAAUUUAGAAAAGGGCAAUUUAGCCACCUCAGUAGGUGAUAUCCACAAAGAAAAGCACUGUUUGUAAGAGCUACUUAUUUGGAUGUGAGAGGUAGCUCAUGUCCCCUUCUAUAAUCAUUCGGUUCCAUGUUUGAACAUUUGAAUC
Molecule: long non-coding RNA, 3383 nt
Organism: Corapipo altera (White-ruffed manakin)
Lineage: Eukaryota; Metazoa; Chordata; Aves; Passeriformes; Pipridae
Exons: 2
Source: RefSeq, a predicted model, not a curated record